Molecule: ribosomal RNA, 456 nt
Filed under: uncultured bacterium
Lineage: Bacteria
Description: bacterial SSU rRNA
Rfam family: Bacterial small subunit ribosomal RNA
Source: RNAcentral
UACGGGAGGCAGCAGUGGGGAAUAUUGCACAAUGGGCGAAAGCCUGAUGCAGCUAUGCCGCGUGUAUGAAGAAGGCCUUAGGGUUGUAAAGUACUUUCAUCGGGGAGGAAAAACAAAACUAAUAAUUUUAUUUCUUGACGUUACCCGAAAAAGAAGCACCGGCUAACUCCGUGCCAGCAGCCGCGGUAAUACGGAGGGUGCUAGCGUUAAUCAGAAUUACUGGGCGUAAAGAGCACGUAGGUGGUUUUUUUAAGUCAGAUGUGAAAUCCCUGGGCUUAACCUAGGAACUGCAUUUUGAAACUGAAAUACUAGAGUAUCGUAGAGGGAGGUAGAAUUCUAGGUGUAGCGGUGAAAUGCGUAGAUAUCUGGAGGAAUACCUGUGGCGAAAGCGGCCUCCUAAACGAAUACUGACACUGAGGUGCGAAAGCGUGGGGAGCGAAACAGGGAUCAGAUACC